GUGGUUCGUUCCUGCUUCUGAUUGGUUGCUUGGUGUUGGUGCCAGGCGGGCAGUCGUUUGUCGGGCGUUCUUCGGGGAUCAACACCGUGGAGGUGCAUGAGUGGUGUUUGGUUUGUUACGGGUGGUUGGUGUCUGUUUGCGCAGGACCUUCCACGCGUCCAUACCUCUUCAGUUGCGCUACAAGGCUUCUAUAGUCUUGUGGAUUGAGUGGGUUUCUGUGUUGCAUACCUGAUGAAUGGCAUCGUGUGGGUUGAUCAAUGUUUAUUUUCGUAACGCGUCGCUUGCGGCGCUGAACGAACCUCGAAGCGGUCUCUAUGGUCCAUUCUCUCGUUGUUUAUGCAACGAUGGCAUGGCCCAUGGAGCGUCGUUUGGUCCCUUGGAUAAGAACCUGAUAUGGGCCGUGGGAUCUUUACCGAUCCUAUAUUUGCCCUUGCUUAGCGUUCGCGCAUCUCUAAACGACCGUCCACCAUGUGUCGGCAUGUUCGUGCAUGGUGGGCUGUGUCGAAUAGGAAUGC
This 515-nucleotide unclassified non-coding RNA is filed under the name Krigia montana. RNAcentral's name for it is "partial external transcribed spacer". The record is from RNAcentral. Lineage: Eukaryota; Viridiplantae; Streptophyta; Magnoliopsida; Asterales; Asteraceae.